AUGGAAUGAUGCCACAUGUAUACCUUUCAGAGAUCCAGGAGGGAAUUAAAUCAUGAUUACAAAGAAGUGUCUCAUUGUGAUCCUUAUUGGCCUUAGACGUAAAACUUGGUGCUGCGUAAAGUUCUACCUGCAGCUCUUACCACGUCUCCUGUCCUAA
RNAcentral lists this long non-coding RNA (157 nucleotides) under Mustela putorius furo (domestic ferret). RNAcentral describes it as "lncRNA (ENSMPUG00000031994.1)". Lineage: Eukaryota; Metazoa; Chordata; Mammalia; Carnivora; Mustelidae. The record is from RNAcentral.